Cynara cardunculus var. scolymus (artichoke) is the source of this 94-nucleotide small nucleolar RNA. RefSeq annotates it as small nucleolar RNA SNORD96 family. The record is from RefSeq and is a predicted model, not a curated record. NCBI's taxonomy places the organism in Eukaryota, Viridiplantae, Streptophyta, Magnoliopsida, Asterales, Asteraceae. The transcript has a single exon.
UGGCAAUGACGAGAUCUGUAUAAAAGAACACCAUCUUUCGGGACUGAAUGGCCUUCUCGAAGGCCUUGCUGUCAAUUCUACGAUUCCGAUGCCA